AAAAACAUCGCCUCUUGCUUCAGUGAAUAAGAGGUCACGCCUGCCCUGUGACUAUAUGUUUAACGGCCGCGGUAUUUUGACCGUGCAAAGGUAGCGCAAUCACUUGUCCUUUAAAUGUGGACCUGUAUGAAUGGCAUAACGAGGGCUUAGCUGUCUCCUUUCUCAAGUCAAUGAACUUGAUCUCCCCGUGCAGAAGCGGGGAUAAAACCAUAAGACGAGAAGACCCUAUGGAGCUUUAGACAAAAAACAGCCCCUGUCAAUAAACCCUAAAUAAAGGAAAUAAACCUAGUGACCCUGUUUUAAUGUCUUUGGUUGGGGCGACCGCGGGGUAACAAAAAACCCCCAUGUGGAAUGAAAACACCCUUUUUAAAACCAAGAGUCACCACUCUAAGUUACAGAACAUCUGACCAAUAAUGAUCCGGCUAAAGCCGAUUAACGAACCGAGUUACCCUAGGGAUAACAGCGCAAUCCUCUUUUAGAGUCCAUAUCGACAAGAGGGUUUACGACCUCGAUGUUGGAUCAGGACAUCCCAAUGGUGCAGCCGCUAUAAA
Molecule: ribosomal RNA, 551 nt
Filed under: Takifugu pardalis (panther puffer)
Lineage: Eukaryota; Metazoa; Chordata; Actinopteri; Tetraodontiformes; Tetraodontidae
Description: partial large subunit ribosomal RNA
Rfam family: Bacterial large subunit ribosomal RNA
Source: RNAcentral